This 126-nucleotide ribosomal RNA is filed under the name Waitea circinata. RNAcentral describes it as "5.8S ribosomal RNA". It matches the Rfam family "5.8S ribosomal RNA", at positions 30 to 154 of the family's 154-position model. From Rfam's summary of the family: 5.8S ribosomal RNA (5.8S rRNA) is a component of the large subunit of the eukaryotic ribosome. It is transcribed by RNA polymerase I as part of the 45S precursor that also contains 18S and 28S rRNA. Functionally, it is thought that 5.8S rRNA may be involved in ribosome translocation. The record is from RNAcentral. Lineage: Eukaryota; Fungi; Basidiomycota; Agaricomycetes; Corticiales; Corticiaceae.
GCAUCGAUGAAGAACGUAGCGAAUUACGAUAUGUAAUGUGAAUUGCAGAAUUCAGUGAAUCAUCGAAUCUUUGAACGCACCUUGCGCUCUUUGGUAUUCCGAAGAGCAUGCCUGUUUGAGUGUCAU